Dicentrarchus labrax (European seabass) is the source of this 1352-nucleotide long non-coding RNA. RefSeq lists it as uncharacterized. The record is from RefSeq and is a predicted model, not a curated record. NCBI's taxonomy places the organism in Eukaryota, Metazoa, Chordata, Actinopteri, Moronidae. The transcript is spliced from 3 exons.
UCGGAAUUGAGACGUUCAAGGUACCCAGAGGAUGAAUGCUACUGAUCCACUAACUUCUGCUGUAGCGCCCCCAAGAGCUUGACAUUUGUGAUUUAGAGUGAAAUGUCUCAAUGACGAUUGCAUGGAUUUCUAUCCAAUCUGAUGCAGACAUUCAUGGUCCUUUUGACCUUUGGUGAUCCUCUCACUUCAUUUAGCCUGACUUUUAACGAUCAGGUCGUAGACUUUGGGUUAUCUGUCUAAUUAUAGCUUGGUUUUCAUUACAGUGAGCAUCACAGAGCUACGGGUCUUUUUCAGUAGGACUUCAUGAAGCCCAUUCGUUGUAGCUGCUGUGUCUACUUUCCCUCGCCAUACGAACUGCCAGUUCGAUCUGCCUUUAUAGUGAAGGUUGCUGCCAGGAGAUGGUGGUGGAUGUGCUGUGAGGGAACAAGGUGCAACAACUUAACUUUCCAUUCAUUAGGAUUUGAAGACCCUGUUCUCCAGAGGGCGUGUACAGGCAGCGGUCUCCUCUUCGACAUCUGCAGCCUAAUCGGCGUCCUCUAGCUUCCUCUGCCUUCCUGUGGAAACUGGAAACUGCCACGGUGCUCUGUUGUCGGAGCAAGAUUACUGCUCGCAGAGUACGACCCAGGGAACAAACGUCAAUGAAAUAUUAUGAACUUCCUCUUCUGCUGCAGAGACAGCUGUUAUAAAUAGCCAGGGUUAUUUUCAGGCAACACUUGUGAGAUUUACUCAGCCCUGGUCUGAUCUGGUCUGGGCUGAACCUCCAUGUGGGAUCUGGUUACAGGACUGUACCACAAAUAUACAGCAGGAUGAACCUGUGAACUACAGCUUGCUCUGUCCUGCCCCACGCCCUUCAAACAUACAUUGCUCUGUGUGUUUCAGUGGAUCUGUGUAUGAUGAGCAUGCAGUUAUGCACCCACAAUCCACCUCUCUCUAUCUCUCACAAACAGGGGUGAUUUUAAGGUGUUUAUUUAACUGCUAGCUUGAGUUUUCACACUCUAAAUCACCACAGGUAAUGCAGGUGUUAUAACUGACUCAGAAUGCAGAUGUAUUCAUUGUUUUAGUUCAGCUACUCCAAGUUACAAGUGCGUCAGAACGGAGCUUUAAUCUGUGCCUGAACCAAAUUCGGGCCCAAAAAUGCUGUCGUAGGUCGGACAUAAUAAGGUAAAUGUUUUAAUAUAUAUUUAAUAUUUUAUUAAUAAUGAAUGCGACUGUAAUGAAAGAAUUGAUCAUUUAUUUGUUUUAAUAAUCAUAUGUACUAUAUUUUAUGCACAAUGUUGUUUACUUAAGCUUGUAAUAAACUAUUCAAAUUUCAGGCUCUGCAAUAAUAAAACAUAAAGAAGGAUUAAAAAUCA